AAGAAGACAAACUUUGGGUUUCCAUGUCCAAUGUUUGACUGUUUGUUUUAUAUGAAAUUUUUUUAUAAUUAGUAUUUUUAUUGUUGUUACAUGAUAAAACAUGAUUAAUACUUUAUGUGUGACUUAUCUUUUUAAUUUUUUUAUAAUUUCUUUUAAAUAAGACGGACGAUCAAACGUUAGACACGAAAACUCAAGGUUUGUCUUUUU
MicroRNA precursor from Oryza sativa Japonica Group (Japanese rice), 207 nucleotides. It matches the Rfam family "MIR812 microRNA precursor family". The record is from Rfam. NCBI's taxonomy places the organism in Eukaryota, Viridiplantae, Streptophyta, Magnoliopsida, Poales, Poaceae.